Molecule: ribosomal RNA, 465 nt
Filed under: uncultured bacterium
Lineage: Bacteria
Description: partial 16S ribosomal RNA
Rfam family: Bacterial small subunit ribosomal RNA
Source: RNAcentral
CCUACGGGAGGCAGCAGUGGGGAAUAUUGCACAAUGGGCGAAAGCCUGACGCAGCGACGCCGCGUGAGGGAUGAAGGUCUUCGGAUCGUAAACCUCUGUCAGCAGGGAAGAACGGUCACUGUGCUAAUCAGCAGUGAAUUGACGGUACCUGCAAAGGAAGCACCGGCUAACUCCGUGCCAGCAGCCGCGGUAAUACGGAGGGUGCGAGCGUUAAUCGGAAUUACUGGGCGUAAAGCGCUCGUAGGCGGUAUGUCAAGUCAAGGGUGAAAUCCCCGCGCUCAACGUGGGAACUGCCUUUGAAACUGGCAAACUGGAGUGUGUGAGAGGAUAGUGGAAUGCCAGGUGUAGGAGUGAAAGCCGUAGAUAUCUGGAGGAACAUCAGUGGCGAAGGCGACUAUCUGGCACAUAACUGACGCUGAGGAGCGAAAGCGUGGGUAGCAAACAGGAUUAGAUACCCUUGUAGUC